Molecule: ribosomal RNA, 617 nt
Filed under: uncultured Helotiales
Lineage: Eukaryota; Fungi; Ascomycota; Leotiomycetes; Helotiales
Description: eukaryotic LSU rRNA
Rfam family: Eukaryotic large subunit ribosomal RNA
Source: RNAcentral
UGCAUAUCAAUAAGCGGAGGAAAAGAAACCAACAGGGAUUGCCUCAGUAACGGCGAGUGAAGCGGCAACAGCUCAAAUUUGAAAUCUGGCUCUUUCAGGGUCCGAGUUGUAAUUUGUAGAAGAUGCUUUGGGUGUGGCUCCGGUCUAAGUUCCUUGGAACAGGACGUCAUAGAGGGUGAGAAUCCCGUACGUGACUGGGUGCCUUCGCUCGUGUAAAGCUCUUUCGACGAGUCGAGUUGUUUGGGAAUGCAGCUCAAAAUGGGUGGUAAAUUUCAUCUAAAGCUAAAUAUUGGCCAGAGACCGAUAGCGCACAAGUAGAGUGAUCGAAAGAUGAAAAGCACUUUGGAAAGAGAGUUAAACAGUACGUGAAAUUGUUGAAAGGGAAGCGCUUGCAACCAGACUUGCGCGCUGUUGAUCAUCCGAGCUUUUGCCCGGUGCACUCGGCAGCGCUCAGGCCAGCAUCGGUUUUGGUGGGCGGAUAAAGGCCUUGGGAAUGUAGCUCUCUUCGGGGAGUGUUAUAGCCCUCGGUGCAAUGCGCCCUACCGGGACCGAGGACCGCGCUUCGGCUAGGAUGCUGGCGUAAUGGUUGUAAGCGACCCGUCUUGAAACACGGACCA